This 429-nucleotide ribosomal RNA is filed under the name uncultured archaeon. Its description in RNAcentral is "bacterial SSU rRNA". It matches the Rfam family "Archaeal small subunit ribosomal RNA", at positions 474 to 903 of the family's 1478-position model. The record is from RNAcentral.
UACCAGCUCUUCGAGUAGUGUGGAUGUUUAUUGGGCCUAAAGCAUCCGUAGCUGGCUGGGCAAGUCCCCUGUUAAAUCCACCGAUUUAAUCGUUGGAGUGCGGGGGAUACUGUUCGGCUAGGGGACGGGAGAGGCAGACGGUAUUUUCGGGGUAGGGGUGAAAUCCUAUAAUCCCGGGAAGACCACCAGUGGCGAAGGCUGUCUGCUAGAACGCGCCCGACGGUGAGGGAUGAAAGCUGGGGGAGCGAACCGGAUUAGAUACCCGGGUAGUCCCAGCUGUAAACGAUGCAGGCUAGGUGUUUGGGCGGCCACGUGCCGCUCUAGUGCCGCAGGGAAGCCGUUAAGCCUGCCGCCUGGGGAGUACGGCCACAAGGCUGAAACUUAAAGGAAUUGGCGGGGGAGCACCACAAGGGGUGAAGCUUGCGGUUU